GUAGGUGGCAAGCGUUGUCCGGAAUUAUUGGGCGUAAAGCGCGCGCAGGCGGUUCUUUAAGUCUGAUGUGAAAGCCCACGGCUCAACCGUGGAGGGUCAUUGGAAACUGGAGAACUUGAGUACAGAAGAGGAAAGCGGAAUUCCACGUGUAGCGGUGAAAUGCGUAGAGAUGUGGAGGAACACCAGUGGCGAAGGCGGCUUUCUGGUCUGUAACUGACGCUGAGACGCGAAAGCGUGGGGAGCAAACAGGGAUUAGAUACCCUGGUAGUCCACGCCGUAAACGAUGAGUGCUAAGUGUUAGGGGGUUUCCCGCCCCUUAGUGCUGCAGCUAACGCAUUAAGCACUCCGCCUGGGGAGUACGGCCGCAAGGCUG
Molecule: ribosomal RNA, 373 nt
Filed under: uncultured organism
Description: partial 16S ribosomal RNA
Rfam family: Bacterial small subunit ribosomal RNA
Source: RNAcentral